RNAcentral lists this ribosomal RNA (253 nucleotides) under uncultured bacterium. RNAcentral describes it as "partial 16S ribosomal RNA". It matches the Rfam family "Bacterial small subunit ribosomal RNA", at positions 524 to 776 of the family's 1533-position model. The record is from RNAcentral.
UACGUAGGGUGCGAGCGUUGUCCGGAAUUACUGGGCGUAAAGAGCUCGUAGGCGGUUUGUCGCGUUGUUCGUGAAAACUCACAGCUUAACUGUGGGCGUGCGGGCGAUACGGGCAGACUGGAGUACUGCAGGGGAGACUGGAAUUCCUGGUGUAGCGGUGGAAUGCGCAGAUAUCAGGAGGAACACCGGUGGCGAAGGCGGGUCUCUGGGCAACAACUGACGCUGAGGAGCGAAAGCGUGGGGAGCGAACAGG